This 431-nucleotide unclassified non-coding RNA is filed under the name soil metagenome. RNAcentral's name for it is "partial contains 5.8S ribosomal RNA, internal transcribed spacer 2, and large subunit ribosomal RNA". The stretch from base 1 to 120 matches the Rfam family "5.8S ribosomal RNA", at positions 35 to 154 of the family's 154-position model. The record is from RNAcentral.
GAUGAAGAACGCAGCGAAAUGCGAUACGUAAUGUGAAUUGCAGAAUUCAGUGAAUCAUCGAAUCUUUGAACGCAUAUUGCGCUCUCUGGUAUUCCGGAGAGCAUGCUUGUUUGAGUAUCAGUAAACACCUCAACUUCCAUAUCUUUUUUGAAAUGGGAGUUGGACUUGAGUGAUCCCAACGCUUUUCCUCACCGAAAAGUGGCGGGUUACUUGAAAUGCAGGUGCAGCUGGACUUUUCUCUGAGCUAUAAGCAUAUCUAUUUAGUCUGCCUAAAAAACAGAUUAUUACCUUUGCUGCAGCUAACAUAAAGGAGAUUAGUUCUUGUGCUGACUGAUGCAGGAUUCACAAAGACGGCUUCGGCCGACUUUGUAAACUCGAUCUCAAAUCAAGUAAGACUACCCGCUGAACUUAAGCAUAUCAUAAGCGGAGGA